This is a long non-coding RNA of Nematostella vectensis (starlet sea anemone), 999 nucleotides long. RefSeq lists it as uncharacterized. The record is from RefSeq and is a predicted model, not a curated record. The transcript has 3 exons. NCBI's taxonomy places the organism in Eukaryota, Metazoa, Cnidaria, Anthozoa, Actiniaria, Edwardsiidae.
ACAGUGAAGCGUUAGGAAUCUAUUAAUCACCUAGUGUGUAUUUUCGCAUAAAUCCACAGGGCCCUUUAGAUGGGGUCACAACUGCAAAACGAGCCUGUUUACUAGAAUAACAAUGUAAGUUUAGCCUAGAAUGCGGCGCAUCGCCUGUUAAGUAUGACCCCUGGCCCGCGGCGUCAAUAAUGCUUUCUCAGCCAGGACUUAGAAGAAAAUUAUUCAAAUCUUCAAUGAUGUCUGGCAUACACGAUGGAAUUUUUCUGAUAAUCGCUGUUUUCAUCGUUCCAUACUAGAUGCACAAUAUACCAGUCAAAGACUUUAGCUCUUGACCAAUCAGAGCGAUGUACUCUCAAUUAGGAUUAGGACCGGCUAGUAUACAACAAUUGUUUUCCUAGAGGUGUCAAAGUAUUUUCACACUUCCUCAAGAUGAAAUUUUCAAAAAGCUGCGAAAAUUUGAACGAGAAGAAACCAACAAGAGCUGCAAAGGGUGGAUGUUUGCAAUGUCUAUAAGUAUCAAUCUGCUAAAACUUGCUUGAAGUGAUUUGCGCAAAAGGAAUUUGUCUGUUCCUUCAUUACGCUCUCUUGUAUCCAACAAAAGAGCUUGACUCUUUUACGACAGCUCUGCCGAUAAAAUUUGACAAUGGUAACCCGUUAAUUUUAAUUGCGUCCUUAAAGAAGGAAGCUGUUGGUUGCUUGGGCAAGCCCGAUCUGGGGAAAUAUCGAUUAGGAGCGAGCGUCGUUUACAGGAGGAGAAGUUUACGGUGCAAACUACCGCGUCUUCAAUUGUCCGUGAAAGUUGGAGUUUUCAGGGAGUGGAACAAGAGCAGAAAUGGGACAAGCACCCAUAUGCCAUUGAAGAACCAAAGAUACAGAUAAUGGUGGACAGGGUCUGAGGUAUCUAGACUUGGUGAUCCGCCUAGCCAUUCAGGGAAAAAUGUCAUCCAGCCUAGAAGUACAUCAAGUAAUAUUAAAUAUUUUUAAAUCAAUAAAUUAUCAGUCAGUCUU